Molecule: long non-coding RNA, 1554 nt
Organism: Lotus japonicus
Lineage: Eukaryota; Viridiplantae; Streptophyta; Magnoliopsida; Fabales; Fabaceae
Exons: 4
Source: RefSeq, a predicted model, not a curated record
GAAAAUUUUCUUUAUUCAAAACUCCACUCACUCUUCUCUCUCCCACUAUCUGCUCUAAUAAUUAUAUUUUUCCCAUUCCAAUAAAUCUCUUCCAUCCAUGCCUAAUCAAAAUUCUUCAACCGCCCCCCACCACUUUCCAAGGAAAACUCUGCACAGCUCCCAUUAACAUUUGAAUUUCAAAAUCAAAAUUAUGAGAAAUUUAUAUCUAAAUCCUUUCCCAACAAGCCUUAUUCAAAUCUCCCUAUUCCCAUCUCCAAGCUCCAUUCACGAGACAGGGAGACGAAAAUGAGAGAUCAGACGAAGGAGAACUAGAGAUGGCUUCUGGGUUCAGUGGUUUAUGGGUUCUUCAUUCGCUAGCUAGCUUCAAUUGAAGGAGACGAAGAUGAGAGCUCCGAUCGAAGAUCCUUCUGCUGGCUUCGGUUGUAGGGAGAUCCUGGUUUUCAUGUUCCAUUGAUUCCAGCUUUGAAAGUAUUUUCUAGGUUUCUCCGCGCGCUGGAUGACACCUUCCUUCCUCUGUUUUUCAUCUAUGCCUCUUCCUCAAUCAUUAUAGUGAAGAAUCUGUAUUACAUUUGAUUUAUCAUAUAUUCAAAUUCGAUUGCAUCAGCUGUUUUCAGAAUGAGUCAUAGUUGGACACCGGUUUUAGCAUUUUUGGUGCUGCUAGAUGAUUUUUUGGCGUGGCAGUAGGUAACCAACAUACUUUCUCUUUUACAUUAGUUGUCUUUUUAUACUCAAGCUAGAAUAUCAACAUAUUUUUUGUGCUGCUAGAUUGAACUUAUUAUCAAGUAGUAUUUUUAAUUGAUGUUGCCACUUCUCAGUUUCUUCUUUGUUUGGUGGUUCUUUACAUUUGGAAUGGAUAUGAAGGUGAGGACACUUUGAAAGUUUGAGUUCAUUUUCCUUUAAUUUUUAAAUUAGGUGGAAGCUCUCCUUUUCCCCCACUUUUUUACUCUAUUCUAUCUUUUGUUGUAAUUUGUUUUCAUUUCUCUCUGCAGGGAAGAGGUUUGUAAAGUCAUCCAAUGCUACAAGGGAUACGAAUACUGGACUAGAGGUUCAUUUUCAGGAUUUUUAGUUCAUAAUUGAUGCAGUAUGGACACAAAUAUACUGAAAUAUGUUGAAGAAGCUUUAUCCAAAAGGUUUCUACGCAGUCUACUGUGAAAAUUGGAUAGAUGUUGAGGGGUCAGUUUCUGAUUUUGAACUCGCUGUGGUGAUCUCUGCUACUAGGCAUAGCCUACAAAAUUUUUGGAUGCAUGAGUUUUAGGUGAAGUGCAUAAUGGUUGGUUCAUAGAGAAGGACAUUUGGGGUAUUCCAUGAGAGAGCUUGAGCAUAAAAGAGGUUAGAGAAGCAAGCCAUUGAGAGAGCGUGGUUCAUUUAAAUUCCCAUUUUUUUGGCUGCAGAUUGCAUAAAUGGGGGCAAGCCAUUGAUAGCAAUCCAACUUCUAACUUUUGUCAUUCCUAACUAGUAUCUAAACCCGUGCUUUGCACGGUGAGUAUGUUACCAAAUUCUUUUUCAAACAACAUGUUUCCUACAUAUAUAAUAUCACAACUCAUUAUUGUGAAA